UAGUCCUCGGCUCAGGAUGAACGCUAGCGGCAGGCCUAACACAUGCAAGUCGAGGGGCGAUCGGGAUUGAAGCUUGCUUCAAUUGCCGGCGACCGGCGCACGGGUGCGUAACGCGUAUGUAACUACCUAUAACAGGGCAUAACACUGAGAAAUUGGUACUAAUUCCCCAUAAUAUUCGGAGAGGCAUCUCUCCGGGUUGAAAACUCCGGUGGUUAUAGAUGGACAUGCGUUGUAUUAGCUAGUUGGUGAGGUAACGGCUCACCAAGGCAACGAUACAUAGGGGGACUGAGAGGUUAACCCCCCACACUGGUACUGAGACACGGACCAGACUCCUACGGGAGGCAGCAGUGAGGAAUAUUGGUCAAUGGACGCAAGUCUGAACCAGCCAUGCCGCGUGCAGGAAGACGGCUCUAUGAGUUGUCAACUGCUUUUGUACGAGGGUAAACUCACCUACGUGUAGGUGACUGAAAGUAUCGUACGAAUAAGGAUCGGCUAACUCCGUG
This 503-nucleotide ribosomal RNA is filed under the name uncultured Alistipes sp. Its description in RNAcentral is "bacterial SSU rRNA". It matches the Rfam family "Bacterial small subunit ribosomal RNA", at positions 13 to 507 of the family's 1533-position model. The record is from RNAcentral. Lineage: Bacteria; Pseudomonadati; Bacteroidota; Bacteroidia; Bacteroidales; Rikenellaceae.